Molecule: ribosomal RNA, 496 nt
Filed under: uncultured bacterium
Lineage: Bacteria
Description: partial 16S ribosomal RNA
Rfam family: Bacterial small subunit ribosomal RNA
Source: RNAcentral
AUGAACGCUGGCGGCGUGCCUAAUACAUGCAAGUCGAGCGAACAGACGAGGAGCUUGCUCCUCUGACGUUAGCGGCGGACGGGUGAGUAACACGUGGAUAACCUACCUAUAAGACUGGGAUAACUUCGGGAAACCGGAGCUAAUACCGGAUAAUAUAUUGAACCGCAUGGUUCAAUAGUGAAAGACGGUUUUGCUGUCACUUAUAGAUGGAUCCGCGCCGCAUUAGCUAGUUGGUAAGGUAACGGAUUACCAAGGCAACGAUGCGUAGCCGACCUGAGAGGGUGAUCGGCCACACUGGAACUGAGACACGGUCCAGACUCCUACGGGAGGCAGCAGUAGGGAAUCUUCCGCAAUGGGCGAAAGCCUGACGGAGCAACGCCGCGUGAGUGAUGAAGGUCUUCGGAUCGUAAAACUCUGUUAUUAGGGAAGAACAAAUGUGUAAGUAACUAUGCACGUCUUGACGGUACCUAAUCAGAAAGCCACGGCUAACUACGUG